This 237-nucleotide ribosomal RNA is filed under the name uncultured bacterium. RNAcentral describes it as "partial 16S ribosomal RNA". It matches the Rfam family "Bacterial small subunit ribosomal RNA", at positions 524 to 761 of the family's 1533-position model. The record is from RNAcentral.
UACGUAGGGUGCAAGCGUUGUCCGGAAUUAUUGGGCGUAAAGAGCUCGUAGGCGGUUUGUCGCGUCGAAUGUGAAACCCGGGGCUCAACCCCGGGCCUGCAUUCGAUACGGGCAGACUAGAGUUCGGUAGGGGAGUCUGGAAUUCCUGGUGUAGCGGUGAAAUGCGCAGAUAUCGGGAGGAACACCGGUGGCGAAGGCGGCGACCUGGGUAGAUACUGACGCUGAGGUGCGAAAGCG